UACGGAGGGUGCGAGCGUUAUCCGGAAUUACUGGGUUUAAAGGGUGCGUAGGCGGCUAAGUAAGUCAGAAGUGAAAGUUUGCGGCUCAACCGUAAAAUUGCUUUUGAUACUGCUUAGCUGGAAUUAGGAUGAGGUCAGCGGAAUGUGGCAUGUAGCGGUGAAAUGCAUAGAUAUGCCAUAGAACACCAAUUGCGAAGGCAGCUGGCUAGACCUAUAUUGACGCUGAGGCACGAAAGCGUGGGGAGCGAACAGGAUUAGAUACCCUGGUAGUCCACGCCCUAAACGAUGCUCACUCGACGUAUAGCACUCGAUGCUGUGCGUCCAAGGGAAACCGUUAAGUGAGCCACCUGGGGAGUACGACCGCAAGGUUGAA
Molecule: ribosomal RNA, 373 nt
Filed under: uncultured bacterium
Lineage: Bacteria
Description: bacterial SSU rRNA
Rfam family: Bacterial small subunit ribosomal RNA
Source: RNAcentral